RNAcentral lists this transfer RNA (72 nucleotides) under Fulvimonas soli. It matches the Rfam family "tRNA". From Rfam's summary of the family: Transfer RNA (tRNA) molecules are approximately 80 nucleotides in length. Their secondary structure includes four short double-helical elements and three loops (D, anti-codon, and T loops). The record is from Rfam by way of RNAcentral. Lineage: Bacteria; Pseudomonadati; Pseudomonadota; Gammaproteobacteria; Lysobacterales; Rhodanobacteraceae. RNAcentral also lists the same sequence under 6 other names.
GGGCGGUUAGCUCAGCGGUAGAGCACUUCCUUGACAUGGAAGGGGUCACAAGUUCGAUCCUUGUACCGCCCA